CCCUACGGGAGGCAGCAGUGAGGAAUAUUGGUCAAUGGGCGUAAGCCUGAACCAGCCAAGUCGCGUGAGGGAUGAAGGUUCUAUGGAUCGUAAACCUCUUUUAUAAGGGAAUAAAGUGCGGGACGUGUCCCGUUUUGUAUGUACCUUAUGAAUAAGGAUCGGCUAACUCCGUGCCAGCAGCCGCGGUAAUACGGAGGAUGCGAGCGUUAUCCGGAUUUAUUGGGUUUAAAGGGUGCGUAGGCGGUCCGUUAAGUCAGCGGUAAAAUUGCGGGGCUCAACCCCGUCGAGCCGUUGAAACUGGCAGACUUGAGUUGGCGAGAAGUACGCGGAAUGCGCGGUGUAGCGGUGAAAUGCAUAGAUAUCGCGCAGAACUCCGAUUGCGAAGGCAGCGUACCGGCGCCAGACUGACGCUGAGGCACGAAAGCGUGGGGAUCGAACAGGAUUAGAUACCCCAGUAGUC
RNAcentral lists this ribosomal RNA (460 nucleotides) under uncultured bacterium. RNAcentral's name for it is "partial 16S ribosomal RNA". It matches the Rfam family "Bacterial small subunit ribosomal RNA", at positions 337 to 795 of the family's 1533-position model. The record is from RNAcentral.